Non-coding RNA from Biomphalaria pfeifferi, 296 nucleotides. The record is from the annotation of a GenBank genome assembly. Lineage: Eukaryota; Metazoa; Mollusca; Gastropoda; Planorbidae.
AGCACACACACAAUUUUUUUUUUCUUGAUCAUUUAUUAUUAAUAUUAACAUCAAUACAAAAAUAAAAAUAAAAUCUGAAAUCUUUACAAAAAUGUUUUGCAGUCAAGAAAAAAAAAUCACAUAACAUGCAUUGCAGAUUUGUACAACCAAUUUAUAUGAUAUUUGAAACAAUAAUAUACACUGACAUUGGCUUGAACGUAGACCAUUUAAAGCAUUUAACCAUCAAAACUACAAACAGCGAUAUCCCCAUACACCCUGUCUAAGAAAUACAAGCAGUAUCCCCAUACACCUUGUCU